GCAGUAAUAGUUCGCGCAUUGCCUGGGGGCCUGGGGCCUAGUUUACGUAUCAGAGCGCGAAGAGGUUCACGGGAUAGCGUCGUUUCAAAUUUUUUUGUGCUACAAAGUGCUAACCGAAUUCCAGUUCUAUUUUACAAUAUAUUUAUCACAUUUUUCUAUCCCAAACGACGGAAAAGGCAUCGGAAAGGUCUUAAAAUGUUAUUCAGACCUCACAGGUAAGAAUAUUUUAUUUUGAUUAAUUAUUUAAGUACUUUAAUUGCGAAAGAAUGUGUGAUUGUUCUUGAGUCAUUUGCCUAAAAUUCCGUUGAAUGUUUAAAUUUGCCGCGUUCAAUUUGCAUAAAAAACCUACGAAAUGUUGGUUUCUGGCAAUGAAAGAAAGAAUAAAAUAUCAAUUCGAACCAUUAUAGCAAAUUCUGUACUAAAUUACGCACUAAUGCACUAUUAACAAUUUAAUAGCAAUAAAUAUUGCCUUUGGCUGUUCGACCUUUGGCUGUUUGACCCUAGUAUAUAUUACUGUAAACAUUCGAAUGCCUUCAAAGAUAUGUUAGCAUUUUAAUAUAUGAAUAAGGAUUAGAAUUACAGAAGAAUUUAUAAAGCUUUGAAUGUAAUUUGAACAUAAUAUUUUCAGUGUUUUGAUCUUAAUAACCCAUUAUGGCCAUUAUAAAGCUUGCAAAUGUGCCCAAAUGCAUCCCUGCUGUUGCUUUACUUUGCCUAGUGCCAGACAAUUUCACUCGUCAAGGGGCCAGACAGUCUUGCAAGCCCUUAAUGAACUUCAGUUUAUAAUGUGUAACAUGUUUGUGACACAAUGCCUGAAAUGUUUGCCUUAUGUAUUUUCAGAUUAAUAUUGGUGCUGGGCUAUUGCCUGGCUCCAAAUAUUGUUCUCAACAAUCAAGGAAUUCUGGAUUGAGUUGACAAACUGGUGUUGUAAGGUAAGAAUUAACAAGAAUAAAUAGUCUGCUUUUAGUGCUUUAUAUGAAGAAAAUGACAAACUGGCCCAGCUAAGGUACUCACCCAGGAUCUGUUCAUAUGAGCCAUGCUGGCCCGUUAAACCGAGUUAGCUUGCUUUGCCGGCCCAAGUUGUUAUUUGUUUCACAUGAGGCGGGCUAGCCUGACAAGUGCUAUAAGAAAUUACCAAACAAUUUUAUAUAUGGUGGGAAAGCGAUAUUUGUUUUAAUUUUGAAAAUGGUAUUUUUAUUGAAGGAAACUGCUUCAGAAGUUUUAAUAGUUCAUUAAUGUUAUUUUUUUAAAUUCUUAUAUGCUUUCUACUGUAGAUAGAAUAAAGCAUGCGUUGUGACACAAUUGUCAAUUGCCAGUCUGGUUUGCCGGGCUGGCCGGGAAAGGCGAGAUCUUGCCUUGCUCAAACGGGAGCCCAUCAAAUUAACCAGGCCAGCCCGGUUCUCAUGUGAAUCAAAUCUCAAAAACAUAUAAAAACAAUAUACAUGUACAAGACCAGAUCUCGGCACUUGCAAGUCGGUCCAGCCAGACGAAUCAGCCUUGAUCUUGUAAACAGCCCAUGUAAGGACCUUGUAUGUAGGAAUUAUUACAUUUCUUGAUACUGCAUCAAAAAUUUAGUAAAUAUUCACAACACAAUUACAUGUGAAUCCUAAAUCUACCCCCAAUGCAGCCCAUUGUAAGGCCUGUUGGCACUGUACUCAAUUUUGGUAUCCGUAACAUGUUUACCAUGCUUGGACUACUCCUAUUCACACAGGCCGAGCAUAGAUAAAUUUGGUACAGGUACCAAGUUUAUCUGUGCCAUACUAGGCGUAAAAAAAUACCUGUGGUUCUGGUUCCCAAUCGACCCUAUUUUUUUCUGCCCACCCUAUUAUUUUUUCAAAGUGAUUGACUGUGCAACCCUAUUUUCUCCAGAUGGUUGUGGGCUGCUGCCAAAUGACAUCUGUUGUCACACUAAUUAUUGAAAAAUCCAUGAAAAAAUAUUGAAAAAAAAGUAUUUCCAACCUACCAACCCUAAUUUUUUUGCGAUAUGAAACCGGAACCACAGGUAUUUUUUUACGCCCUACUAGAUUAAUCUUGCUAUCUCAAUGCCAAACAAUUGUACAUGUCCAGGGUCCUGAUGUAUUAACCCAAUUAGUGGCAGCACUCUUCCCCUGAGUCCCUGACGACUUAAAUUGUCUGGCAUUAGACAGAGUAAAAUAAUAAAGUAGGGCGCAUCUUGGUGCAUUGGCACUUAAAGGGUUAAUGUAAUGUUACUGCACUACAUUGAUGCUAACUGUAUAAUGAAUUAAAUUAGUUAUUUAAGAGAAGACAGUCAGUUGAGUAUCAUAUUUAGUCCACAAGAUAUAUUCCCCUUUAAACUGGAACUGUUGCAUGACAGAUCAUAAAUUAAUUGACAUAAUCUACUUGGCUAACUAAUAAUUAUUAGACAGUAGUGCACAAUGCAACUAAAUGGUUAAUUUGACACAUGGGCAGAUAGUCUGAUUAACCCAUUGAGCAUGACUGCUUUCCUCUUGACAAGUAAAGUUAUCUGGUGUUAGACAGAGUAAAAUAAUAAAGUAUGAUGCAACAAAAUUUAGUGUCUGGUGAAACUUAAAGCUUGCUGAUUAAUAGUGAUUAUUGGUUAUUACUUUUUAAAAUAACAUGGGUCCAAGGUCUUUGCCAGAAGAAGUUGCGCUAGAUGGUGGUUUGCCUAAUACCAGAUGGUAGCGGGUGGUGCCCAGAUACCUAAUGGCACCAGAUAGUAGUCUACAGGUUUUUUUCUGGACUUUCUCUUGGGUCCAUUUUUGCAGAGAAGAUUGAGUUUAGCUGAACAGCUGGGGUGGCUGCACCCCCCUACCGCGGGAGGCUGACACCUAUGCUCAAUAAAUGUAGUUGAGAUGGAAUGUGUUAAAGCAGGGGCCCUAAGGGACACUAUAAACUGGUUAAAGAUGGCGAAUGCAUAGUUUUUCUUGUGUUGCAAGAUGAAUUCCUGAAACUUUGGUGAGAAGAUUGAGUUUCACAACUCAAUUCAAGAUUCAAUUUUUGGGCCCGUUUAACGGCCCUAAAAAAUCCCUGAAAAAAACCCCUGGUCUACUGGGUACAGGUCUGGAGAAACCUGUCUCUGGUUAACAUAUGUAUAUUUGUCAUACCCUGCAUCACCUUGUACAUACAAAUGAAAUAUGAACUGGCUUUGUUAUUGGUUAAAUAAAGGCUGUUUAUUACAUCCACAGUUAGUAGUCCCUUUUACACUGUAGGUUAAUGAUAAGUCUCAAGGUCAUUGUUCUGGCAUAUUUUGUAUAAAGUAAUGAUUACAUUUUCAAUAAGUAAAAUUUUCCUUUUACAGAUUCUAAGAUGAUUGAUCUUUGUUGGCAAUUGCAUGCUGUGUUUGGAACAGUAUUAAUUAAAUGUACAUGAGGAAAUCAAUGGACUUGGUGAAUGAACAAUGGUAUAGAUAAUAUUGAUUGUGAAAUGGACAAAAUGUUAAACAAAAUAUGGCUUCAGGGGAAACCAGGGUUUUUUCAGGGAUUUUUUAGGGCCCUUUAAACGGCCCCAAAAACUCAAUCUUGAAUUGAGUUUUGAAACUCAAUCUUCUCAUCAAAGUUUCAGUGCAGUAAAAAUGAAGUUGUUUGAGUUAUAAAAUGUUGUGACAUGUGGAAAUUAGUUUUCAGUUGGAAGCCCGACAAGCCAUCUUUAACCAGUUUAUAGUGUCCCUGUUUUAACACAUUCCGUCUCAAUUACAUUUAUUGAGUACAGGUGUCAGCCCACCGGUAGGGGGGGGGGGGAUGCAGCCACCCCAACUGUUCAGCUAAACUCAAUCUUCUCCGCAAAAACGGACCCAAGAGAAAAUCCUGGAAAAAACCCUGGGAGAAACUCAAUUCACUACAACACAUUGCUGUGCUAUCAGAACUACUAUAAUUUCAGUAAAUAUACAAGUUAUUUUCUUAGAAUGAGAAUUUUUUUCUUAAAC
RNAcentral lists this long non-coding RNA (3901 nucleotides) under Paramuricea clavata. The record is from RNAcentral. Lineage: Eukaryota; Metazoa; Cnidaria; Anthozoa; Malacalcyonacea; Plexauridae.